UNUGGGUUUACUACUGCUGUAUUUUUCACU
This 30-nucleotide non-coding RNA is filed under the name Mus musculus (house mouse). The record is from RNAcentral. Lineage: Eukaryota; Metazoa; Chordata; Mammalia; Rodentia; Muridae.